GACGAACCGUGCGAACGUUAUUCGGAAUCACUGGGCUUAAAGCGCGUGUAGGCGGGACGGCACGUCUGUCGCUGAAAUCCCCCGGCUUAACCGGGGGACUGGCGUAGAUACGACCGUCCUGGAGGGGCGUAGGGGGACCUGGAACUUCCGGUGGAGCGGUGAAAUGCGUUGAGAUCGGAAGGAACGCCCGUGGCGAAAGCGAGGUCCUGGACGCCUACUGACGCUGAGACGCGAAAGCCAGGGGAGCGAACGGG
This 254-nucleotide ribosomal RNA is filed under the name uncultured bacterium. RNAcentral's name for it is "partial 16S ribosomal RNA". It matches the Rfam family "Bacterial small subunit ribosomal RNA", at positions 524 to 776 of the family's 1533-position model. The record is from RNAcentral.